AGCAGCCGCGGUAAUUCCAGCUCCAAUAGCGUAUAUUAAAGUUGUUGCAGUUAAAAAGCUCGUAGUUGAAUUUCGGGAUCAAUAUAUCGGUCGUGCCAUUGGUACGUACUGGUAUCAUUGGUUUCUCCUUUCUGACGAACCAUGAUGUCAUUAAUUUGGUGUUAUGGGAAGUUAGGACUGUUACUUUGAAAAAAAUUAGAGUGUUUAAAGCAGGCUUUAGCUUGAAUACAUUAGCAUGGAAUAAUGAAAUAGGACGUUCGAACCUAUUUUGUUGGUUUCUUAGGAUCAACGUAAUGAUUAAUAGGGAUAGUUGGGGGCAUUAGUAUUCAAUUGUCAGAGGUGAAAUUCUUGGAUUUAUUGAAGACUAACUACUGCGAAAGCAUUUGCCAAGGAUGUUUUCAUUAAUCAAGAACGAAAGUUAGGGGAGUCGAAGACGAUCAGAUACCGUCGUAGUCUUAACCAUAAACUAUGCCGACUAGGGAUCGGAUGAUGUUAAUUUUUAAUUGUACUCAUUCGGCGC
Molecule: ribosomal RNA, 520 nt
Filed under: uncultured Glomus
Lineage: Eukaryota; Fungi; Glomeromycota; Glomeromycetes; Glomerales; Glomeraceae
Description: SSU rRNA
Rfam family: Eukaryotic small subunit ribosomal RNA
Source: RNAcentral